GGAGUAGCUCAGUUGGUAGAGCAGCUGACUUGUAAUCAGCAGGUCCUCGGUUCAAGUCCGAGCUU
This 65-nucleotide transfer RNA is filed under the name human gut metagenome. It matches the Rfam family "tRNA", at positions 6 to 65 of the family's 71-position model. From Rfam's summary of the family: Transfer RNA (tRNA) molecules are approximately 80 nucleotides in length. Their secondary structure includes four short double-helical elements and three loops (D, anti-codon, and T loops). The record is from RNAcentral.